Molecule: long non-coding RNA, 627 nt
Filed under: Physcomitrium patens
Lineage: Eukaryota; Viridiplantae; Streptophyta; Bryopsida; Funariales; Funariaceae
Description: long non-coding RNA (PPAT_LNC004862)
Source: RNAcentral
AUUUUGAUUAUAAUUUCACUAUAUAGUUGUAUUACAUCACGACAUUGGGUACCUAAUUGUGGAAGGUAGAAUGGAAAUUGCAAGAACAAAAUCAUAAUUCUAAUAGAAUAUUAAAUAAAUUCUAAUUAUAUCUUAAUAAUACUAAACAAGCUUUAAUCAAAUUCAAAAGAGAAAUCUUAAAGAAAUUACAAAAGAAACAAUAAGAUAUAUUAAAGGAGUUGAAAGAUAAUCCAUAAUAAACCUUAAAAUAAUCCUUAAGAAGUUCUAAAAAAUAUUAAAAUAAUUACAAUAUAUCUUAAAUAAAUCUCAACUAAGCUCUAAUUUAAUCAAAAUUGAAAUCCUAAUAGACUUCAAUCAAAUCCUAAUAAAAUUCUAAAUCCUAAUUCAAAUCAUAAUCAAAUAUUAAAUCCUAAAUCCUAACCAAAUUCUAAAUCCUAAAUCAAAUCCUAACCAAUCUUAAACCGUAAAUCAAAUUUUAGACAAAUCUUAAUCAAAUCCUAAAUUCUAAAUCAAAUCCUAAUCAAAUCCUAAAUUCUAAAUCAAAUCCUAAUCAAAUCCUAAAUUCUAAAACAAAUCCUAACUAAAUUUUAAAUCUUAAAUCAAACCUUAAUCAAAUUCUAAACAAAU